UAAAAAAAAUUAAUAAUCUUAAGAAAAAUUAACAAGGUUUAAAAAGUUUACUGUGGCCUAAAAAGAAUACUGGAGGCCUUAAACAAAACCAAAGACUCAUUAGUCAUUACUAAAAGAUGUACCUUAGUUUACAAUUAAGGUUGGCAUUCUUGAUAGGUGUCCUAUUGAUUUUUAUCUUACAGGUCUGAACUGUACCAGGGAAAUGAUAGCAAAAAUUUGAUGCUUUCCAAAUUCUAGUUCAAAUGAAAAUCAUUUAUCAGUUUAACCUUGCAUAUACCUUUUUCAAUCAUUUAGUGGUUUGCAAUGGCUUCUGUCUCAUAACAGCUUAACAAAGAAUCCCAUUUUGUGUAUUUUUUUUACUCUACAAAUAGCAAGAGUAACUGUCAUCAUGCUAAGAACAUUGCAAGGGUCCUAAGCUGCUUCCUAGUCAGGUAUAAGUUCUGUUAUAUUAUUUUUUUCACUUAUGCAAAUGAUUACAGCGCUAUGAACACACAUACUUCCAAAGGAUCAUA
Molecule: unclassified non-coding RNA, 512 nt
Filed under: Hevea brasiliensis (rubber tree)
Lineage: Eukaryota; Viridiplantae; Streptophyta; Magnoliopsida; Malpighiales; Euphorbiaceae
Source: RNAcentral